This is a long non-coding RNA of Stegostoma tigrinum, 347 nucleotides long. RefSeq lists it as uncharacterized. The transcript has 2 exons. Lineage: Eukaryota; Metazoa; Chordata; Chondrichthyes; Orectolobiformes; Stegostomatidae. The record is from RefSeq and is a predicted model, not a curated record.
UGUUGCAGUGUGAGAAGCUGAAAUCUUGGGCUGAUGGUUGUCUAACAGACGUUACCCGAGAAGUGCGUGAAAUACUAACAGAUGGAAUGCUUGCCACCGAAUGUAACGGCUCCUUCUUAGGGCUCAGCUCUUUGGAUGUCAGUCAUCACUAUGUCUAUUAUGUCCCUGUCAGCUGAAGCCAUUGAUGUAGCCAAAGUCAGAUGCAGGAAGAGUAGAUUUGACAGCAGGCUCAGGAAUGGGGCUAAGUCACCACAGAGGCCACGGAGCACCCAAUUCAGGAUGAGGCCUCAGCUACAGGGCCCCUCAGGAUGUAUUGAUGAUUGAAAAUAAAAGCUGAUCUUGGAAAA